RNAcentral lists this ribosomal RNA (432 nucleotides) under uncultured bacterium. Its description in RNAcentral is "partial 16S ribosomal RNA". It matches the Rfam family "Bacterial small subunit ribosomal RNA", at positions 29 to 506 of the family's 1533-position model. The record is from RNAcentral.
AACGAACGCUGGCGGCAUGCCUAACACAUGCAAGUCGAACGAGACCUUCGGGUCUAGUGGCGCACGGGUGCGUAACGCGUGGGAACCUGCCCUUAGGUUCGGAAUAACUCCCCGAAAGGGGUGCUAAUACCGGAUAAUGUCUUCGGACCAAAGGUUUAUCGCCUUUGGAUGGGCCCUCGUUUGUUUAGCUCGUUGGUAGGGUAAAAGCCUACCAAGGCGACGAUCCAUAGCUGGUCUGAGAGGAUGAUCAGCCCCACUGGGACUGGGAAAGGACCCAGACUCCAACGGGAGGAAGCAGUGGGAAAUAUAGGACACCGGGCGAAAGCGUGAACGAGGACUGCCGGGGGAGUGAUGAAGGCUUUAGGGUUGUAAAGCUCGUUUACCCGGGAGGAUAAUAAGGGAACCGGGAAAAAAGGAUCCGGCAACCUCCGU